GAGUUUGAUCAUGGCUCAGAUUGAACGCUGGCGGCAUGCUUUACACAUGCAAGUCGAACGGGGUGCGGGGGCAACUUCGCAUUCAGUGGCGAACGGGUGAGUAAUGCAUCGGAACGUGUCCCGUAGUGGGGGAUAACGCCGCGAAAGCGGCGCUAAUACCGCAUACGCUCUGUGGAGGAAAGCAGGGGACCCUGGAAGGGGCCUUGUGCUAGGGGGGCGGCCGAUGUCCGAUUAGCUAGUUGGUGGGGUAAUGGCCCACCAAGGCUGCGAUCGGUAGCUGGUCUGAGAGGAUGAUCAGCCACACUGGGACUGAGACACGGCCCAGACUCCUACGGGAGGCAGCAGUGGGGAAUUUUGGACAAUGGGGGCAACCCUGAUCCAGCCAUGCCGCGUGCGGGAAGAAGGCCUUCGGGUUGUAAACCGCUUUUAGCCGGGACGAAAGCUCUACGGAUAACACCCGUAGGGGUUGACGGUACCGGCGGAAUAAGCACCGGCUAACUACGUGCCAGCCACCGCGGUAAUAC
Molecule: ribosomal RNA, 524 nt
Filed under: uncultured bacterium
Lineage: Bacteria
Description: bacterial SSU rRNA
Rfam family: Bacterial small subunit ribosomal RNA
Source: RNAcentral